This 442-nucleotide ribosomal RNA is filed under the name Phleum pratense (timothy grass). RNAcentral describes it as "eukaryotic LSU rRNA". The stretch from base 302 to 442 matches the Rfam family "Eukaryotic large subunit ribosomal RNA", at positions 1 to 141 of the family's 3401-position model. The record is from RNAcentral. Lineage: Eukaryota; Viridiplantae; Streptophyta; Magnoliopsida; Poales; Poaceae. RNAcentral also lists the same sequence under 1 other name.
UGCAGAAUCCCGCGAACCAUCGAGUCUUUGAACGCAAGUUGCGCCCGAGGCCACCUGGCCGAGGGCACGCCUGCCUGGGCGUCACGCCAAACACGCUCCCAACCCCUCAUCGGGAGUGGGAUGCGGCUUGUGGCCCCCCGUCUCGCAAGGGGCGGUGGGCCGAAGAUGCGGCUGCCGGCGUAUCGUGUCGGACACAGCGCGUGGUGGGCGACCUCGCUUUACUUACCGCAGUGCAUCCGGCCCGUAGCCGAUGUGAUGGCCUUGAAGGACCCUAUAAACGGAGCGCAUGACGCUUCGACCGCGACCCCAGGUCAGGCGGGACUACCCGCUGAGUUUAAGCAUAUAAAUAAGCGGAGGAGAAGAAACUUACAAGGAUUCCCCUAGUAACGGCGAGCGAACCGGGAUCAGCCCAGCUUGAGAAUCGGGCGGCCGUGCCGUCCGA